CAGCCCCGGGGUAUAUGCCCCGCCUCCCCGGCCCUACACACGUUCCCUGUCUCGGGCCACGCCCAUGGGAGGCGGUGCCACACGCUCACAAGCUACUGGUUGGAGCCUUGCUGUAGUGAAGGCUUACUAGGGACAGACACAGUACACAAAGAGCUCGGUAGCUUUGUCUUACGCUGUGCUGCCGGGUGAUUCGCUCUAAGAAUGUCAUCGAUCAUCGAUUUUGUUUUGGGAUGCGCGAUGCGCGCGGAUGAAGGACUGACCACCAUUGAAAGAAAUAUCUUGUCCUUUGUGGAUGUGUUAGAGACAAUAAGGAGAUCUCGUAACCCCCCAAGACAGAAAAGACAAUCAAAUAAGAACAAGAUGAAACACCACCGCCAGGGAGAUUAGUGUGGGUGUGGCCGCGCUGGUGUGGGUGACAACAUCAACUGCUGCCUAAUCCUUGUCAGUGGGGGGGUGCAGUUAUACUGAGGUCCAUGGUGAGGUCAGCUGUGAUCACGCGGCAAUCCUCUAGGAGAGGCCGGCAGAC
Molecule: long non-coding RNA, 526 nt
Organism: Pseudophryne corroboree (corroboree frog)
Lineage: Eukaryota; Metazoa; Chordata; Amphibia; Anura; Myobatrachidae
Exons: 5
Source: RefSeq, a predicted model, not a curated record